CAGCCGCCGCGGGAAUACGUAGGUGGCAAGCGUUGUCCGGAAUUAUUGGGCGUAAAGGGCUCGCAGGCGGUUUCUUAAGUCUGAUGUGAAAGCCCCCGGCUCAACCGGGGAGGGUCAUUGGAAACUGGGAAACUUGAGUGCAGAAGAGGAGAGUGGAAUUCCACGUGUAGCGGUGAAAUGCGUAGAGAUGUGGAGGAACGCCAGUGGCGAAGGCGACUCUCUGGUCUGUAACUGACGCUGAGGAGCGAAAGCGUGGGGAGCGAACAGGAUUAGAUACCCGCGUAGUCCCUGUCUCUUAUAC
RNAcentral lists this ribosomal RNA (301 nucleotides) under uncultured bacterium. Its description in RNAcentral is "partial 16S ribosomal RNA". It matches the Rfam family "Bacterial small subunit ribosomal RNA", at positions 509 to 807 of the family's 1533-position model. The record is from RNAcentral.